CCUACAAGUGGCACUCCAUCAGAUGCGUACGCACAAAAUGUUACCACCGACUGUGUCAACUUUAACAAUAAAAUUAUAACCCUACACCCAAAUUUUAACAUAUAUUUUGUUGUUUACAAAAAUAAAGCGUUCGAUGAAAAUACACAAAACUAUAUUAACAUUAUCGAUUUUAACAUAAAUUUAAAAAUAUUAGAAGAAUAUUUUUUAGAAAGUUUAAUAAAUAAAUUGUGUAAAAAUACAAAUGAAAAAAGAAGUAUGUUAAUACAUAAUAUUCAUAAUUUGAAUAACCAAAUACUUGAAAAGGAGAGUGAAAUAUUAUACAUUUUGAAUAAUAAAGAAGAUAUAUUGAACGAUAAUGACAUUGUUAUAAAAUUCGAAAAUGCUAACAACUUAUUUCAUGAAAAUAAAAAAAAAAUUAAAGAAUUUAAAAUAAAUAAAAAAGAAAUAAUGAAAAUUAGAAAUAAUUAUAUUAGUUUAUCUAAACACAUUUCAAUUAUAUAUCAUUGUAUUAGUAAAUUAAUUUUAUUAAAUCCUUUUUAUAAUUUUUCAAUUUUAUAUUUUGUUCAUUUAUUAAAUAAAAGUAUAGAUAAAACAGAAGAAAAUAAAUUAUUAGAAAAAAGAAAAAAAGAUAUACUAAACAUUUUUACCAAAAAAAUACAUUAUGAUAUCUCAAGGACGUUAUCAGAAAAACAUCAACACAUCUUCUUUUUCUAUCUAGUAUGUAUGUUAAAUAUAUAUAAAAAAGAAAUAAAUUAUGAAGAUUAUUAUUUUUUGGUACAUACUGAAUAUCCCAUGUUUAGAAAUGGAAAAUCAAAAAAUGAAGUUAUACAAAUGAUGCAGGAAAAAAAAAUGCGCAUCUUAAAACAUGAGAAAAAGGGGUCUACCCGCACGGUAAUUCGACCAAGUUCUCAAUCAAAUACAACUACACUGAAUGACAUAAACCAACAAAAUAUUCAAUUAGAAAAGGAAAAAACAGAAAAAAACAUGAUAUUAGAAAGAGAAAAAAGCCAAAGAGUUAUCUCUUUCGAUUUGAAUGGAGACAUAAAAACGGAUAAUGGAAGCGAAGAAUAUGAUAGUUCACCAAUAGAUGAUAGUGACGAUGAUAGUGACAAUGAUAGUGACAAUGAUAGUGACAAUGAUAGUGACAAUGAUAGUGACAAUGAUAAUAAUGUUGAACAUACUUUUUCUUCUUCUAGUUAUGAAUUUGAUAGCGAACAAGACGGAUGUAUAAAAAAUGAGACGUGUAUAGGAAUGCUGAAUAGUCGUAACGGGGAAGACAAUGGAAAUGGUAACUUAAACGAUAGCAAAGACAACAAUCGGAUACAACAAAUUAAUAAAUACAAAAAGGCAAGCAUCGAAUAUUUGGUACUUCCGAAAAUAAUGGAGGAGGAUGACUUUAUGAAUAGUUUUGAGGAUACCAUAAUAAAAGACAUGAUGUACGGAAAGGAGAGUGGAUGGAACAGUAGCAAUACACAUGGUAAUAAUAAUAUCGGAAAAUUACCCUUUUCGUUCGAUUUUGAAACGAAAGAUCUGUUAUGGGUAAGCAUAAACGAAUAUAUGGAGGUUAAAAAGUUGAUAGAAAAGAGAAAAUAUUAUUUAUUUUUUAGAUUAGCUUUUAAUGAGUAUGAACAUAUUUUUAGAAAUAUAAAAAUUGAUCAUACAAUAUUAGAACAUAAAAAUUUAAAAAACUUAUUAACUGAUUUUGAGAAAUUAAUUAUCUAUAAAAUUUUUCGUUUUGAUAUAUUAAAAUUAAAUGUAAAUAGUUAUGUAUAUAGUUAUUUAAAUAUUUCGACACAAAAUUAUUCAAAAGAUUUGUAUAAAUGUUAUAAACAUUCAGCAAAAAAUAAAAUAAUAUUAUUACGUUCAGAACUCCGUUUUAAUGCUGCUAGUGAAAUUAUGUUAUUAAAUGAAAAAAUAACUGGUAAAAAUAACCUAAU
Piliocolobus tephrosceles (Ugandan red Colobus) is the source of this 1937-nucleotide long non-coding RNA. NCBI's taxonomy places the organism in Eukaryota, Metazoa, Chordata, Mammalia, Primates, Cercopithecidae. The record is from Ensembl.